Molecule: ribosomal RNA, 666 nt
Filed under: uncultured Enterobacteriaceae bacterium
Lineage: Bacteria; Pseudomonadati; Pseudomonadota; Gammaproteobacteria; Enterobacterales; Enterobacteriaceae
Description: bacterial SSU rRNA
Rfam family: Bacterial small subunit ribosomal RNA
Source: RNAcentral
GAGUGAUGGGCUCCGAAGCUAACGCGAUAAAUCGACCGCUGGGGAGUACGGCCGCAAGGUUAAAACUCAAAUGAAUUGACGGGGGCCCGCACAGCGGUGGAGCAUGUGGUUUAAUUCGAUGCAACGCGAAGAACCUUACCUGGUCUUGACAUCCAUAGAAUUCUGCAGAGAUGUGGGAGUGCCUUCGGGAACUAUGAGACAGGUGCUGCAUGGCUGUCGUCAGCUCGUGUUGUGAAAUGUUGGGUUAAGUCCCGCAACGAGCGCAACCCUUAUUCUUUGUUGCCAGCGAUUUGGUCGGGAACUCAAAGGAGACUGCCGUUGAUAAAGCGGAGGAAGGUGGGGACGACGUCAAGUCAUCAUGGCCCUUACGACCAGGGCUACACACGUGCUACAAUGGCGUAUACAAAGGGAAGCGAAGGUGCGAGCUGGAGCGGAUCUCAUAAAGUACGUCUAAGUUCGGAUUGGAGUCUGCAACUCGACUCCAUGAAGUCGGAAUCGCUAGUAAUCGUAGAUCAGAAUGCUACGGUGAAUACGUUCCCGGGCCUUGUACACACCGCCCGUCACACCAUGGGAGUGGGUUGCACCAGAAGUAGAUAGCUUAACCGCGAGGGGGGCGUUUACCACGGUGUGAUUCAUGACUGGGGUGAAGUCGUAACAAGGUAACCA